GGAAACGGAUGAAGCCGACGUAUCUAGUGCGUAUUCAGUUGAUUGGCUGGCUGAUCUCUUUUUGGGUAUUCCGCAAGGUUGCUCGAUUUGAGUUGUUGGUUGGUUUGUCGAUGCAUUUGCGUGCAGAGUGCGGUGAGUCGGUUGAUGCCGUCGAUUGAAGUUGCUUGAGAGGACGUGCUUUUCGGAGUUGCGAAACCUUUUGCUUCGGAUGUUGAUUGGUGUUAGCCGGAUUUGUGACACAGGCCCGAGCGGGUCUGGUUUAGCUGUUGAGGCUGGCUUAUGGCGGACGCAUGCGUACGUUGUUUGACGGUUUUGAUGGUUGGGCUGGAUUCUCUGUGUUCAUCUCGCUGUAUAGUUGGUCUCUCAUUCGACCCGUCUUGAAACACGGACCAAGGAGUUUAUGGUGCAUGCGAGUCAUUGGGCUCUUCUUUGAAACCCAUAGGCGUAAUGAAGGUGAAAUUGUAUAGAUUUAGAUGUGAUCGGUUGUGUGUUUCGGCAUGCUCCGAGCAACAUCGCCCCAUUUCGAGAACUUGUUCUGUUGUGGAGGCUGAGCAUGCGCUAUGAGACCCGAAAGAUGGUGAACUAUGCCUGAACAGGAUGAAGCCAG
Molecule: ribosomal RNA, 607 nt
Filed under: Potensaphelenchus stammeri
Lineage: Eukaryota; Metazoa; Nematoda; Chromadorea; Rhabditida; Aphelenchoididae
Description: partial large subunit ribosomal RNA
Rfam family: Eukaryotic large subunit ribosomal RNA
Source: RNAcentral